GUUUCAGAUUUUAAAAAUUUAUCGAUCAAAAGUGAUUAAGGAAUACAAGAUCACGGUUUAAUGAUUUUGCUUUACAUAAACUAAUCGAUAAUAAAUUGUUACUCCUGGCGAAACAGAGUACAGAUUCAUCAGGAAUAGACGGAUGUUGAGAAAUCAAAACAAAGUGAGCACAAUGUCUGCCCUGCUUCAAUGGAUUAUAGAGACGUCCUAAAAAACAACAUCUACUGGUCAGCAUCUCCAAGGAAAUACCAUUUAAGGUAUUUCUAAAAUGUGGCGGUCCCGUCGAUCCAGUUCUUCGUCUGCCUACAAAAGACACCAGAUCCAAGACAGACUUAACCUCUCCCGCCGGAAAUCGUCGAUAUUCGGGGACCCCCUGGACGACAGAGAUCUGACCUCGAUCCCCACUAAGUCACAGAAUCCAACAUACGAGGAUUCCACGCGGCGGUUUACCAUUUUCUCUAUCGUUCUUGGAAUAAUAAUUUUUUGUGUGAUAUGUUUUUCUUUUUAUCAGAGAGCUCGGUUUAUUAUAUAGGAUGUGAGGUUAACUGUAAGUGGCAAAAGACACAAAAGAACAUUGAAUUUUUGUAUAUUGUACAUAACAUCUCUAAUGAAUAUUUCAUUUUUAUUACCAUGAUAAUAAAAGAAAGUGAAUCCA
Molecule: long non-coding RNA, 655 nt
Organism: Saccostrea cuccullata (small rock oyster)
Lineage: Eukaryota; Metazoa; Mollusca; Bivalvia; Ostreida; Ostreidae
Exons: 3
Source: RefSeq, a predicted model, not a curated record